Molecule: ribosomal RNA, 532 nt
Filed under: uncultured Bacteroidota bacterium
Lineage: Bacteria; Pseudomonadati; Bacteroidota
Description: bacterial SSU rRNA
Rfam family: Bacterial small subunit ribosomal RNA
Source: RNAcentral
AGAGUUUGAUCCUGGCUCAGGAUGAACGCUAGCGGCAGGCUUAACACAUGCAAGUCGAGGGGUAACAGGAGAGCUUGCUCUUGCUGACGACCGGCGCACGGGUGCGUAACGCGUAUACAAUCUGCCUUGUACUAGGGGAUAGCCUUUAGAAAUGAAGAUUAAUACCCUAUAGUCUAUUAGAAUGGCAUCGUUUUAAUAGUAAAGGUUACGGUACAAGAUGAGUAUGCGUCCUAUUAGUUUGUUGGUAAGGUAACGGCUUACCAAGACUACGAUAGGUAGGGGCCCUGAGAGGGGGAUCCCCCACACUGGUACUGAGACACGGACCAGACUCCUACGGGAGGCAGCAGUGAGGAAUAUUGGACAAUGGGCGAGAGCCUGAUCCAGCCAUGCCGCGUGCAGGAAGACGGCCCUAUGGGUUGUAAACUGCUUUUAUACAGGAAGAAACACUCUCUCGAGAAGAGAGCUUGACGGUACUGUAAGAAUAAGGACCGGCUAACUCCGUGCCAGCAGCCGCGGUAAUAAGGGCGAAUUC